GCCGGGUUGUCGGGAGAUUUGGAGGCGAGGCGGGAGAAGAAGAAACCCAGGAGGGCUUCUCCUCCUUCGCCGCCGCCGCAGCCACCAUGGAGGGCUUCUCCACCGCGGAGGGCUUCUCCUCCUUCGCCGCCGCUGCAGCCACCGCGGAGGGCUUCUCCUCCUUCGCCAGGUCCGUUCCGGUUAGGGCGGCAGGGAGAGAGAGCGAGGAGGCGAAGGGAUUUGAGGCGAGGGCCUUUUCUUGGGCUGGUAGGGAGAGAGAGCGAGGAGGGAUUUGGGGAUAGUAGUUUUGUUCUGGGUGGAGAGAAAGAGAGGGGAGGGAUUUAGUUGGCUUGAUACAUAUCUGAAGCCGCUCUUAUCUUUCAUCCUUUCACUUUUUUGGUUUUGGUCUUCGUUUUCCUUCCCUCACGUUGCUCCUGAUCCAGCUCGGCCAUCGGGAAGAAAGAUAGGGG
This 449-nucleotide long non-coding RNA is filed under the name Phoenix dactylifera (date palm). RNAcentral describes it as "long non-coding RNA (PDAC_LNC022208)". Lineage: Eukaryota; Viridiplantae; Streptophyta; Magnoliopsida; Arecales; Arecaceae. The record is from RNAcentral.